AAAAAAUUUGGUUCUGGUUUUUCUGUUGUGAUGUUUGAGGUGUAUACAUGCUAGUCCAUAGGCGUCCCGGUGAGGCAGCGAGUUUGGAGGCCCUUAAUUAUAUAUACAUUGAGCUAAAAACAUCGUAUGAAUUAACUGUUCUAUAAAAAGAAAAAUAGCCGUUAAAUAGCGUCACAUCUGCAGUAAUGAGCCUUUAACACUCACUGAGAAGUGGAUUAGACCAAUUAAUAAAGUGAGGGGGCUAAGUCUCGUGCCAGCAGCCGCGGUUACACGAAUCUCCUCUCAUAACUUAGGAAGCGGCUUAUUGAGGAUUCUAGUGUUUAUUGGUGUAAAGAAGCCCUUAACAAUAAGUGUGGAAACUUAAAUUGGGCCGUAAAUGCGUCUAAUAUGGGCCUCGUGAUUUAGGGGGGAGACCCGGAUUAGAUACCCGGUUAUUCCUAAGUGUCAAGAGAUAAUGCCGGCGGAGUACGGAGGUGUCUUUAAAAAGCCAAGAACUUGGCGGUUGUCUAUUUCUGAUUAGGGGAGCUUGUUUGAAGAAAAGGAUAAUCCGCCAAACACCUGACCCCUUUUUGAUUUUCAGCCACUAUAUCAUCGUCUCUAAGUGCUUAGUCCGAGCUUAAGACAACUACAAAUCAGGGAAAGCUUGCUAGAAGUCAGAUCAAGAUGGUGCCUAUAAAGGGGGGAGAAUGAGCUACACUGGUAUAUUAACCGCAGUUAAGUUUGGGGGUAAAGAUGAAAUUGUUUACUUUAAAAAGGACUUAAUAGUAAUAAAGCUUGAGAUAGGCUUUGUGAAAUUAGCGCUAGGCUUCGUACACAUCGCCCGUCGCCUGCGGGGUAAAACUUGGAGUAAGUCGUAACAUAGUAGGCGGACCGGAAGGUGUGGCCUGGACAA
Molecule: non-coding RNA, 892 nt
Filed under: Ophiactis savignyi
Lineage: Eukaryota; Metazoa; Echinodermata; Ophiuroidea; Amphilepidida; Ophiactidae
Source: RNAcentral